CGCGUAGGCGGCUAUUUAAGUCAGGGGUGAAAUCCCGGGGCUCAACCCCGGAACUGCCUUUGAAACUGGAUGGCUAGAAUCCUGGAGAGGCGAGUGGAAUUCCGAGUGUAGAGGUGAAAUUCGUAGAUAUUCGGAAGAACACCAGUGGCGAAGGCGACUCGCUGGACAGGUAUUGACGCUGAGGUGCGAAAGCGUGGGGAGCAAACA
This 207-nucleotide ribosomal RNA is filed under the name uncultured bacterium. Its description in RNAcentral is "partial 16S ribosomal RNA". It matches the Rfam family "Bacterial small subunit ribosomal RNA", at positions 568 to 774 of the family's 1533-position model. The record is from RNAcentral.